UCAUUUGUUGUUGAUUUGUUUUUUUUCAGAAUUGCAUUGGCAAAUCAUGAAAGGUGUAAUGUUCACGGAUUUUUGUUAGAUGAUCUGUUGGUCCGGUUUAAUUUUAGCGGGCAUGAGGCAUCUGGGUACUGUUUACGAAUUGAUAGCGCACCUUGCUUAAAUCCUACUAACAAUUUUCUCAAGAAUUCAUACUAACAAGUGUCUUUGCUUUUUGUUUGAUGCAUUUAACAUGUUCAGGAAACAUGUUUCAAGGGCCUUGUUUGUCGAUCUGGAGCCCACUGUUAGUAGAUUAUGGCAGUAAAUCAUAGUCAGUUUCCUUGUCUACACUUCAUCAUAGCCUCAUAUGUACUAUUAUAUGACUGUUGCAUUUCAUUUCUUUUUGCAGAUAGGUCAUGUUGUUGGACGAGGGCGGGCUAGCGGAGGGCGUGUCGGCGGACGACGUGGAGGUCGUGUUCGGCU
This 459-nucleotide long non-coding RNA is filed under the name Triticum aestivum (bread wheat). RNAcentral describes it as "long non-coding RNA (TAES_LNC014096)". The record is from RNAcentral. Lineage: Eukaryota; Viridiplantae; Streptophyta; Magnoliopsida; Poales; Poaceae.